UCUCUUCUUCUUGUUCUCUGCGUGCUUGCGGCCGCCGACCGCCGCAACAGCCACGUCGAUCCACCACAGCCACCCCAGUUCACAGGAGAUGCAGACCAACGUCCUGACGCCCCAACCCUCACCUAUCCCAACGCCGCCGAGCCCCCACACAUCUCGAACUCGGACUCGAAGAAGAGCCCAUGUGGCUUGCGCCUUGGAGUCGUGUCCAAGGAUGAGAUGUUCGGGAGGACGGGGCCGUGCUCUACAUGAAAAUUGAGCCAUUAAAAGGAAUCCUUAACCAAAAAUAAAUCGCAUCUCAAGUUUCUUGCCCGAGAUUGCCGUGCCGCAAGUUUCCGGCAUCUUCGUGCCGCAAGCUUUCGACAUCGCCGUGCCUGCGUCGAGUUCAUCGGAUAUCCGUCUGCACGUGCUCCAUGGUACGCUCGAAAUUCGUCUGACCUGAGGUGUACGUGCUAGAGUCCCAUCAAUUUACAUCUGUCAUGAAUUUAUUAAUUCUGUAUGUUCUUCAGUAUAGGCCAUGCUAGCACUAAAGUUCCGAAUAGAUGUUCAAGUUUCAGAUGCUUAGUUUCAGGCAAUGAGAACUGUCUCAAUGCAGUUGUAUUUGCAGAUGGUCCCAUGCUGCAAUGCAUGAUUGUAUAUGUAUGUUGUCCCUGCUGCUAGAUCAAUGAAAUAUCCUAUGUUCAAAAAAAGUAUAUGCUCUUUAAGCUCUGGACAAGUCAAUGCCUAAAAUACUACAACUCAUGGAGUACAGACUGAAACAUAGAAGGUAGACCACAAGUGAUCAAAUCAUUGAGAAGUCCAACAAUAUGCAUUAGUUCAGCUAAUAUUCCCCACUGUCUGAAAGGCAUCUGGCUCUGCUCCAAGCUUCAUAUACUUCAUCUUCGCACAUUGAGAUUUGUCUGAAGGUGUACAUUAGUGGUUGGAUGUACUCAAUUUUUAUAUAGGAAAAAAUUGUUGCUGUACAACAGAAAAAAUAAAUAAGAAAAGGGUACACUGGGAGUUGUCUGAAGGUGUAUAUUAGUGGUUGGAUGUACUUAAUUUUUAUCUAGGAAGAAUAGCUACUGUACGACAGGAAAAAUAUAAGAAAAGGUAAACUAAUAUCAUGAUGAUGGCAGAGGGGUAAUGCAUUGUUCAUGGUAUUGCAUGCACGGGCAUUGGUUAAAUAAUUUUGGGUGUUCUAACUCUCUGGGAUAAUUUAUAUCUCUAUUUUUGCUAAUUGGCAAGGUUGAUGAACAAUGAUUUACCUAUGGUUUUUGCUUAAUGGAAAAGCCUUUUCAGUUUUAAAAACCUACUGAUUUGAUCAACAGAGCCUGUCUCUUUUUUUGUUUCUUGGUAAGAACAGUGCUAUAUGGUUAAACUCUACAUCUUUGUACUUAAUUGUCUGAAGGUGUGCAUUAGUCCUUGAGAUUAGUGCUAUAUAGUACCACGCUACAUCUCUGUACUUAAUUGGCUGAAGGUGUGCAUUAGUGCUUCAGACCAGUGUUGUAUGGUUCCACUCUACAUGUCUGUAGUUAAUAUCUGAAGGUGUACAUGAGUGGUUGGCUGUGUUAAUAUAAAUAGUAACUUUCCAUAUUAUAGCAGCUAGAAGAGCUUCACAGAAAUUUGGUACAAGAGUUGCAACAGUCUUGAUCAAGUGUUUUUAUUAUUAUUGCUUCUUGGUUAAACAUUGUAAGAAUCUUGCGCAUGUUCGGUGUUAUCACGUCCUAAAGAUCUUACUAUUUUUUUAUUAACGAAGAUCUUGACUAUUUUGGUGUCAAGAUCCAAUAGCCUUCUUGUUAGUUAAUGCUCUAUUAUAUUUUUCUAACAAAACAAAUGUAUGUUUCCAGCAAUAAAACUCGUCGGUUCCAGCAAAAACAAUUACUCGCCAUAGCCGGGUCAUAGCAAAAAAUUUGGCUGGUCCUAGCAAACAAAAAAAGAACAAUCCCAGCAAAAAAUAAAAUCGGCGUCGCAGUCAUAGGCAACAGUUUUGGAGGUAUGAUAGUGUGCUUGAGCGAGGAUACCUCACUGCCUGUCUUGGAUGGCCAGAACAUUUUGUUGGCCAUCUCACACUCAUGUUGCAACAAUUGGAUGUGUCAUGUGAAACCUGCAGCAUUCGAGCAUUGCAAGCGGCGGUAUGGCAGUCUGAAUCCUGACGUUCUUGGGAGUGCAGUUCUAAUAGGUGGGGCGUUUGUUGGAAAUAUAGGACUGAGACCCAUAGCUCCUUAAAAAAAGGUGUAUUUCCUCUUAAUUACUCGCACAAGCAAACAAGUGAUGGCUGGUUAGUUGUAUUCAUUUUGUUAUAUUUAUGAGAGCUGCCUUUUCAAACAGGAGAAGAAGGGCUAUCUUGCUUGUCUAAAGUGAGUCUGCAUGGUGGUCUCUGUUGUUUGAAGGCAAGUUGCUCGGGAACGAGCCACUGGUUAAAUCGUUUGGUUAUCUAAGGAUGUGCACUACGAUGUGGGCGACAUGGUCGACAAGCUCUGACUACUACAUUCUCCAACAAGGUAGAAUUAAUUUAGUUGUGGUUUUAUAUUUCAAAACACUAUGAAAUUAGAAUUUACUGAGUUUCUUUGUUUAGGCGGUGCUGUAGAAAUAGUGUUCAGUUUGUAUGAGUUAGUGUUGUGCUGAAACUCACGAGUCCUGAUUUGCUUCCCAUGCAAAAAAAAAAUGCUUGGGCUUGUCAGGUCUCUGAGUCUUACUGCACCAAACAUGCAACUUUUGGCAUGGUUUGGUUUCAAAACAUAAAAAGCUAGGGAGUUUCACAAUCCCUAGGACAAUGCCGAUACUUAGAUUAUUUUGUACAGCUAUUUUGACAUCGAUUUGAUGCUGAUAUACCGCCGACAAGUAGCAGUCGUGGAAGAGGCAACCCUCUAAGGAAUGUGACCAUUUUUGUAAUCAUAAGAGAUGGUGUUGGAAACCUGUAGAAUGACAAUACUGUCACACGAUAGUUCUGUGUAAGAUGGCAAACGGGGAGGAAUUUUGACCAGGCUUAUCAAGAGUGCUGGUUGUAGGGCAAGUCACUAGCCGCAAGACCCUUCCUCGAGUUACUACUUACGAACUAUUGCAAAUUUGUAAUUCAUGCAUUUUAACAUCUUUGCACCGGUGCACUUUUCUGGCUGUAACUUUAUUAAAUGGCAAGCAGAAUUUUUUUAUGGCAAUGCGAAGCAGAAUUGCUGGAACUGAUAUUCAAACGUCAUCAU
This is a long non-coding RNA of Triticum aestivum (bread wheat), 3173 nucleotides long. RefSeq lists it as uncharacterized. Lineage: Eukaryota; Viridiplantae; Streptophyta; Magnoliopsida; Poales; Poaceae. The transcript is spliced from 3 exons. The record is from RefSeq and is a predicted model, not a curated record.